This is a long non-coding RNA of Anguilla anguilla (European eel), 3147 nucleotides long. RefSeq lists it as uncharacterized. Lineage: Eukaryota; Metazoa; Chordata; Actinopteri; Anguilliformes; Anguillidae. The transcript is spliced from 2 exons. The record is from RefSeq and is a predicted model, not a curated record.
UGGCAAAGCUUUAAAACGAUGACAAACAAUAAAACAUUCAUCACACCUCUGUAUUGUUUUCUGUUCUUGUUACAAAAACGGAACUUUGAAGACUGUGAACACGCGUUCCAAAGGACAGUUUGGCUUACAUUUAGGUUUUUUUUUUUUGUUUUUUUUUUUCGAGCAGACCAAUAUGAAAGCCAAUGAUCUAUAUUGUACAGAACAGUGCAUUCCAAAUACAACAUCCGUUUUUUUUGUUUGUUUGUUUGUCUGUCUGUUUGUUUGCGUUUAAGCAAGGACUGAUUCUUUAGUUUUUUUUUUAUAUAAGUAUUCCUUCUGUUAUUUAAAAGGUGACUGUAAGCUGUUGUGCAAAUGUAGAGUCCCCGACUGCCGCCAUUGCAACUCCCAGUUCACGUAAGUCUGGUAUGGGGGAGUUUAGAGUGAGUGUUUCUCACUCCAAAGGAAUAUUACAAAGUAAUAGCGGUCACCAGAAUAAUAUGUACAUAAACACACUUCAGAUUCUCACGUCCGUCUCACCUGUUCAAUGUGAUCAUGCCUCUCAGCUGCCAACAAGUCAGUAGCAGAACUAUAGGUUGUUUGGAAAAGACGUCUGAAGCGGUGGGCUUUCCUACCUGUACGAAGUGUCACAGGUGUCUGUAGGCCAGCCGUUCAGCCAUUUCCCCGCAUAAUCAGGAGAUGCCGUUUCUGAGGGAAAUGUUCAUCCCAAAGUAUUUAAAGAAACGAACAGAGCUAAUGGUUGUUGUUUUUUUUGGGUUUUUUUUCACUUUUUUUUUUGGUUUGUUUUUUUGUUUGAUAAAGAUCUCCCUUUUGCUGUUGAAAGUUUAGGAGCGCGGAUCUGCCCUCACACCCAAAGAGAGGUUGUUCACGUCUGCCGAUUGCAGUCCAAAUGGUUGUACUCAAAAAGAUAUACAUCCUCUCCUCCCCAGAAAAAAAAUGAAUUUUUUAUUUUUUAUUAUUAUUUUCUUUUCUUUGCACCAAGACACAUUGAAAUGUGUGUAAUUGCUCUUUGGCCACCGGUGUAUAGCAUUUGGCCUAAAUUAAACCGUUUCCACACCUCAGAAGUGUGUUAAGUGUUGCAUCUUGCGGGGGGGAAAAAAAUGUGAUUUUGUGUCAAUACUUGCGCACUCAGUCGAUUUUGGGUUGAUUUGAUCUGCAAGCUCGCUCCUCCAAACUCCUGUUCUUGGAAAAAAAUUGUUCAUAUGAUUUUUUUUAAGAAUCCUAAUGUUGUACAGGUUAUUCUUGAAUUAAUGCUUUUUUGCAUUUUUGUUUUUAAAUAAUGUCAUAGACAUUAUUUUUUCAUAUAACUAUUUGUAUGCUGUUUAGGUUUCUGUGUAUUAUUUUUUCCUCAUAUAAAUUAACAUAUAACGCUAGCUUUAAAUCUGAAUUGCUGAAGUUUCCUCUUUUUUUAAUACUACUCUGACCUGGCCUCUUUAUAAUGUGAUAAUGAUCCAUUAUUUGUUUGCAUUUUUAUCAGAUUUUUUAAAACUCUAGUUUCCAAAGGUUAUUCUGUUCUAGGCUCUUUUUCAGCAUUUGCAGCUUGCAUGGGCUAUGUAUAAGGGUGUGUGUUUCUGUGUGUGUGUGUGUGUCUGUUUGGUUGUGUGUGUUUGCGUGUUCUGGGAGCCAGCAUCGAUUUUUUUUAUUUAAUAUUUUUCAUUUUUACACACCAAAAGAACUGAACUGAACUGAAAAGUUUAAUUUAAACUAAAUACGUGAACAUCAUUUAAAAAAAGGGAUUUCAAAGGAAGCAAUGAUCAUAAUGUGGAGGAUAAUAGUAAAGCACUGAGCAAUUAAAAAAAAAAAAAAAUUGAAUUAAUGAAUGUGGCCAAAGCUUUAUACAGCUGCAAAUUGACAGGAGAAUUUCAGUAGUGGUGCCUGUCAUAAGGGCAUGUUUUAUCGUGGCACAACACACAGGACAGCUGAAAUAGUUCUGCAAGAAGCUUCAAUUCAAACUUGAUUUUCAUUGACUGAUAAAGAGAGAAAAGGAGAUUGGUAUUGCUGUAGUAUUAUUGCAAAGGUCAUCUCCCCCCCACUGUGAAAAUAAACAUGUAUACAGAUAUAGAUAUAUUUAAAACAUCAGUUUCUUUAAGGAAGGAAAAAAUACUCUGGGAGCUUUAUGUUACAUUGGGUUUUUUUUUUUUUUUGGAGAGUUCACACUGACGUGAAGGAGCGGCCAUUUUGUUUGGUGGUGGGCAGUCCAUACACAGCUGGUCGUGGCAGCCUGAGGUACAUGGUGGCUAGGAUAGCAAGUCGAUUAUUCACUGCAGGCAGUUCUGGGAAGGGGACGGACUUCUGAACCAAUGGUGGACAUGAAACGGCGAGGGGAAUCUUGAAAAGCCAAACUCCAGUAGCUGGUACCACUAUUUUCCCGCCCUUUCCCCCUCUCUCUCUCUCUCUCUCUCUCUCUCUCUCUAUCUGUCUGUCUCUCUCUCUCUCUCUCCCUCUCUCAUGGAGUCAACCAAACGAACCAUGAAAAACCCUUUUCUUUAUGAAAGGGCGUGUGUUUUCUAAGCUGUAAUUCUCAAAGAAGCAGUUUGAAUUUUUUUUUUUUUAAAGCAAAGCAACCAAAAUUAACAACCAAACUAACAACCAAACCAUUUGCUCCAAUUUCUAAGAUGAACUGUUGUGUGGAGCCCCCCCCCCCCCUCCUCCCUCCCAAAAAACAAAAUCCUUUUUGUGACUCCUGGUGCCACAAUGUUUUUUUUAAUUCUUUUUUUUUUAUGCAUUAUUUUUUCUGGUUUUAAUUUUCGUUUCCUUGAAUUAUUCCUCCUCAGAGCCACACAGAAACGACUCUGAGGCUCCAGUCGGCCCACCUGAGGGUAUAAAAAAUCAGCCUUGCAAUGUACAAAAAAGAGCAAGUUAAACCAAAAAUGUUGUUCUUGAUGUCUUUUCUAUACUGUAGUCUUGUUAGCUUUUUUUUGUUACUGUAAUUAUAUGAUGAAGAUUUCCAAACUGUACCAAAUUACAAUGGAGACUAACGUACAAAAACCACAUGGAAUUUCACUUUUAAAGAGAAACUUUUGUCACAAAAAAACUUGUUGUCCUAGUUAAGUUGAUUGUAGAUGGUAAUUGAAUAUACUCCUUUGAAAAUAUUUCAUCAAGUAUGUUUCUUGCUCAUUGUGAUACAUUAAAAAAGUAUGAGCAAAAAUG